This 468-nucleotide ribosomal RNA is filed under the name uncultured bacterium. RNAcentral's name for it is "partial 16S ribosomal RNA". It matches the Rfam family "Bacterial small subunit ribosomal RNA", at positions 28 to 507 of the family's 1533-position model. The record is from RNAcentral.
GACGAACGCUGGCGGCGUGCUUAACACAUGCAAGUCGAACGGAGAGGCCCUGCUUUUGUGGGGUGCUCGAGUGGCGAACGGGUGAGUAACACGUGAGUAACCUGCCCUUGACUUUGGGAUAACUUCAGGAAACUGGGGCUAAUACCGGAUAGGAGCUCCUGCUGCAUGGUGGGGGUUGGAAAGUUUCGGCGGUUGGGGAUGGACUCGCGGCUUAUCAGCUUGUUGGUGGGGUAGUGGCUUACCAAGGCUUUGACGGGUAGCCGGCCUGAGAGGGUGACCGGCCACAUUGGGACUGAGAUACGGCCCAGACUCCUACGGGAGGCAGCAGUGGGGAAUAUUGCACAAUGGGCGGAAGCCUAAUGCAGCAACGCCGCGUGCGGGAUGACGGCCUUCGGGUUGUAAACCGCUUUCGCCUGUGACGAAGCGUGAGUGACGGUAAUGGGUAAAGAAGCACCGGCUAACUACGUG